This 697-nucleotide ribosomal RNA is filed under the name Tubifera sp. 1 DL-2015a. Its description in RNAcentral is "bacterial SSU rRNA". It matches the Rfam family "Eukaryotic small subunit ribosomal RNA", at positions 81 to 558 of the family's 1831-position model. The record is from RNAcentral. Lineage: Eukaryota; Evosea; Eumycetozoa; Liceales; Reticulariaceae.
ACAAAUCUGCNNNNNGCUCCAUACACCUGUUAUAACCAUUCAUGAGGACUAGGGUUUCCAUCAUUUUCUGUGUAUGGUGCCAUACGGAUAAUGGUAGAAACCCUAGCAAUAAUACGUUUGUAGCUUCAGCGAUGCGAGGUGCGGGGUCAGAAACCGGGUACACUGCCCGGCAGACGUCUCUGCCUUCAAGUCAAUGAGGCUCCCACUUUCAAUGAGGGCAUACCAAGCUUAGGGCUCAAAGGGGGAUUCCCAAUACGCAUGUCGGUUUAUCUCAGGGUCGGCUUCUGCCUUCCCCGGGCUUUUCCGUCCUCUGCAGGGUUUCUUCCUUCCUCUGUCUUGACCGUGCAGGAUUUGGGGUGGGAGAACGAUAUAAUCCUCGAUGUGCUCUCUUUGCUGGGACUUUACCUCCCGGUGAGUUUGCGCACAUUCAUGGUGGGUUCCAGUCCUAUCAACUAGACGACUGGGUAUCGGCCAGCCGUGGUUAUAACGGGUACAGAGGAUUAGGGUUUGAUCCUGGAGAGGUAGCCUUAAAAAUUGCUCCCACUUCCAUGGAAGGCAGCAGGCGCGCAACGUUCUCAAUGGUUCUCGUGGUGGAGACCGAAGACGUUAAGGAACAUAGCAAUACUUUGGCCUGAAAACCAAAGCAAUUGAAAUGGGGGCGACCUAAACCCUCCACCGAGAAGCAAUUAGAGGACAA